RNAcentral lists this ribosomal RNA (253 nucleotides) under uncultured bacterium. RNAcentral describes it as "partial 16S ribosomal RNA". It matches the Rfam family "Bacterial small subunit ribosomal RNA", at positions 524 to 776 of the family's 1533-position model. The record is from RNAcentral.
UACAGAGGGGGCGAGCGUUGUUCGGAAUUACUGGGCGUAAAGGGCGCGUAGGCGGCCAACUAAGUCAGACGUGAAAUCCCUCGGCUUAACCGGGGAACUGCGUCUGAUACUGGUUGGCUUGAAUCCGGGAGAGGGAUGUGGAAUUCCAGGUGUAGCGGUGAAAUGCGUAGAUAUCUGGAGGAACACCGGUGGCGAAGGCGGCAUCCUGGACCGGUAUUGACGCUGAGGAGCGAAAGCCAGGGGAGCAAACGGG